This 76-nucleotide transfer RNA is filed under the name Pelobacter propionicus DSM 2379. Its description in RNAcentral is "tRNA-Ala (CGC) (tRNA-Ala-CGC-1-1)". It matches the Rfam family "tRNA". From Rfam's summary of the family: Transfer RNA (tRNA) molecules are approximately 80 nucleotides in length. Their secondary structure includes four short double-helical elements and three loops (D, anti-codon, and T loops). Further hydrogen bonds mediate the characteristic L-shaped molecular structure. tRNAs have two regions of fundamental functional importance: the anti-codon, which is responsible for specific mRNA codon recognition, and the 3' end, to which the tRNAs corresponding amino acid is attached (by aminoacyl-tRNA synthetases). tRNAs cope with the degeneracy of the genetic code in two manners: having more than one tRNA (with a specific anti-codon) for a particular amino acid; and 'wobble' base-pairing, i.e. permitting non-standard base-pairing at the 3rd anti-codon position. The record is from RNAcentral. RNAcentral also lists the same sequence under 2 other names. Lineage: Bacteria; Pseudomonadati; Thermodesulfobacteriota; Desulfuromonadia; Desulfuromonadales; Desulfuromonadaceae.
GGGGAUGUGGCUCAGCUGGGAGAGCACUGCCUUCGCAAGGCAGGGGUCGAGGGUUCGAAUCCCUUCAUCUCCACCA